Molecule: ribosomal RNA, 1983 nt
Filed under: Triticum aestivum (bread wheat)
Lineage: Eukaryota; Viridiplantae; Streptophyta; Magnoliopsida; Poales; Poaceae
Description: partial small subunit ribosomal RNA
Source: RNAcentral
AUGCAGAUCAAGCGAGGGGAUGUUCAACCUGGAAGCUCGAAUAGAAGACGCAAAAAAAUGCGCAUAAGUAGCGAAAAUAUGAUUCGAGUCAAUCCUCUCGAAGAGGAAUUCGGCACCUCAAGUGAUUCUGGUGAAGGUGUCUGGAGGCUACUCAGUGAAGAAGUCGCAGCACACAUAGAUGACAGUGUUGUGUCGCUUGCUUCAUUCCAUAAAGAUAACGCAAAGUCGGUUUAUUUUGCGUGCACGGGCAUAAUUAUUGAGAGCAAUUCAACUACUACAAGUUUCUUGACUUCGUUAAGUUUGCUUAGAUCUAUUGAUGAUGAUAGCAAGAUCUUUCAAGACAUGAUGAUUAAAGUGCGCCUUCCAAAUAAUCAUCUUUCAAUGGGAUGGUUGGAAUACUAUGACUUAAAAUACAAUGUUGCUGUUAUCAGCAUCGCGCCCUUCCAUGUUUUUCGCGCAGCAUUUGUAGAUCAUCAGCGGCAAUUUGAGUCUCAUAGUGAAGUAGUUGCUGUUGGGCGUUGCUUCGACUCAGGCAAAUUAAUGGCCACAACUGGGAUGUUGACUGACAAUGGGAAGAGAAUUUACCGCGAGGAGCUUGCGAUCUCCACAUGUGAAAUUACUAUGACUGGAGUUGGAGGGCCCCUUGUUGAUUUUAACGGUGACUUUGUCGGGAUGAACUUUUAUUCUAAGGAAGAGACUCCGUUCCUACCAAGGAAUAAAAUUCUUGAGCUUCUGAUGCAUUUUAGGAGAACAUCCCCGUGCUGGGACACAAGUAAGAAAAGAGGUAGUAAAACUGAAAGAGGCGCAAGCAAGGCACAAAUGUCUCCUGAAUCUCACAAGUCCGAUUUAGAAGGCAGCUCAAGGCAGGAGAUGAAAAAUAAAAACCAGAAACCUACCAUAUGUACUAUAUGUGACCCAGAACUUAAUUCAGGACUCGAGGAUACAUUACUAGAGAGUCUGCCUUCUAUUCGCCGGUGGCCAUAUGACUGGGGUCUUGUAUCUUUGGAUGCUAGAAGAGAUAAGUUUAGGUCCCGUGGUUACCCCUUACCAGUUUUGGAGGAUGAUGCCAAGCGUCUGCGUUAUAGUUUUGAGGAGGAGUUUAGUGAAGAUAUCUGGAACAAACUCUCAGAAAGAGUAGCUUCAAAUAUGUCCCGAGUUGUUGUAGCACUCGCUUCAUUCAAUGGAGAAGCGAGACUUUUUGCUUGCACAGGUGUAUUCAUAGACUGCAAUGGGUUCACCACAAGAGUUCUAACCUCGGGAAGUUUGGUUAGAAGUAAUGACGAUGAAAGCAAGGUUGCUGAUAACUUAAAGAUUGAAGUGCACCUUCCAGAUAAACGACGUGUCACAGGGAUUUUGCAACAUUACGAUCUGCAUUAUAAUGUCGCUGUCAUCAUCAUCAAAAAACAUCGCUGUACUCGGACAGCAAUUAUCAACAAUAAGGUUGAAACUGGCACUCACUCGCAGGUAUUAGCUGUAGGGCGUGUCUAUGAAUCAGGCAAAUUAAUGGCAGCAAGUGGGAUAGUGAUCAACAAUGAAAGUAAACUCGAUUGCAAAGAUCUUAGGAUCUCCACUUGUCAAAUCACUAAGGCUGGGAUUGGGGGCCCUCUUAUUGAUUCUGAUGGGAACUUUAUUGGCAUGAACUUCUAUGGCUUGGAAGAAACUCCCUACAUGCCACGGGAUACAAUUGUGAAACUCUUGGGGAAUUUUGAUGCAAAAGGGACUGCUGAUUUUACCAAAGUUCCUGCACCAAACAGGUUUUUAAAAUAUUAUUAUGCAUUCAACAAGACCUUGAUUCAGACAUGCACUAUUCAUGGACUUACUUAUGAUUUCAUCAUAACAGAUGGCCUGUGCCUAAGCCAUAUUGGUGCUAUCCGGUGUGGCAUGAACGGAAGGAAGGAACAGACUUGCUGGAAUUUCUUGAACAAGAAUUUCGCUAUGACUAAUGUGAAUUUUAUUGCCAUGCCUAUAUUGUCAACCUGCUGA